AUUCCCCCUUAUCCCCCCUAUUUCCCCCUUAUACCCCCCAGGUACAUCCAGAACUCUCAGCCCCAGCUGAACAACCUCACAGCCGUGGGCUGCACCCUGGCCCUGGCGGCUGUUUUCCCUUUGGGGUUGGAUGGAUACCACGUGCAGCCCGGGCUCUUCCCACUCGUCUGCCAGGUGGGGGCAUAUGGGGGGGAUUUGGGGUCCCUUUAGGGUCCCUUUAGGGUCCAUUGGGUUCUAUUUGGGGUCCAUUUGGGUCCAUUUGGGGUCACAGUGGGGUCCUUAGGGUCCAUUUAGGGUCCCUUUGGGGUCCCUUUGGGUCCCUUUGGGUCCAUUUGGGGUCACAGUGGGGUCCUUAGGGUCCAUUUGGAUCCAUUUGGGUCCAUUUGGGGUCACAGUGGGGUCCUUUGGGUCCAUUUGGGGUCACAGUGGGGUCCUUUGGGUCCAUUUGGGUCCAUUUGGGGUCAUUUGGGGUCCCUUAGGGUCCAUUUGGGGUCACAGUGGGGUCCUUUGGGUCCAUUUGGGGUCACAGUGGGGUCCUUUGGGUCCAUUUGGGUCCAUUUGGGGUCACAGUGGGGUCCUUAGGGUCCAUUUGGGUCCAUUAGGGUCCAUAUGGGGUCACAGUGGGGUCCUUAGGGUCCAUUUGGGUCCAUUAGGGUCCAUAUGGGGUCACAGUGGGGUCCUUUGGGUCCCUUUGGGGUCCCUUUGGGUCCAUUUGGGGUCACAGUGGGGUCCUUUGGGUCCAUUUGGGGUCCCUUUGGGGUCCUUUGGUUCCAUUUGGGUCCAUUUGGGGUCAUUUCAGGUCCAUUUGGGUCCAUUUGGGGUCCCUUUGGGUCCAUUUGGGGUCACGGUGGGGUCCUUUGGGUCCAUUUGGGUCCCUUUAGGGUCCAUUUGGGGUCCCUUUGGGUCCAUUUGGGGUCACA
RNAcentral lists this long non-coding RNA (920 nucleotides) under Coturnix japonica (Japanese quail). RNAcentral describes it as "lncRNA (ENSCJPG00005001918.1)". The record is from RNAcentral. Lineage: Eukaryota; Metazoa; Chordata; Aves; Galliformes; Phasianidae.